Molecule: long non-coding RNA, 985 nt
Filed under: Phoenix dactylifera (date palm)
Lineage: Eukaryota; Viridiplantae; Streptophyta; Magnoliopsida; Arecales; Arecaceae
Description: long non-coding RNA (PDAC_LNC007988)
Source: RNAcentral
CAUCCUUAUCCAAGCAAACCUCUCAGCAUCAGAGGAUCACGUCCACGAAUCAAACCAAGUUUCCUCCCGUAUCCAACGAGCAAAACCAAUCCUUCGUCCACGGAUUUCUCCCAGCACCCUCUCCCCAGUUUUACGUGUCUCUUCUCUUUCGGAUAAGAACCAGCAACCUACUCUACAAGCUGCUCCCCCUUGCGGAUACCAAUCAACCUCCGAAUCCCCUGAAAACAGAGCUUCUCCCAGCCUCCCUCCGGAUCGCGUUCGUGAUCUACUUCAUCCCAUGAACUCAUCAAAUCCCCUGCGUCUCGGAUUACAUCCUUAUUCCAACCAAGUAUCAAGAUCUCAUCUCCCUGUUAUCAGCCGAAAUUCCAACAUCCUAGCUUCCCUGUUCCUAUCUUUCCUGAGCUUAUCCGCCCAAGAUAAAUCCUAUCUAACCUUCAGAACAAACUCCCUCUUCUUCCGAAUCGAUCUCACGUUCAUUCCGUUCGCGAUGGCCUUCAACGCAUCCCCUGUUUCAGCGGAAUAGAACCAUCACGAGCUUCAGCUGUUUCUUCCGUUCUCAGCAGCUCAAUCUUCCGAAUCCAUCCAAACAACUUCCCGACUCCAAUAAUCUUAGCAUCCCAUGAGAACCAACCUAUCAAAUUCGUUCCAAAGAUCCUCUGUUCUCAGCCAUAGCCACCGGUUUCAAGCCUCCCGCAUCUCCAUCUCGGCUGUAAGCUCAACCUGACGUCCACGUCCUCGCCAUCCCCUGCAACCGAGGAUCAAGCUGACUUCAGCAAACCAAUCCAGCCGUUCGGCGAGCUUCAAGGAUCCAGCAAUCAACACAUCAGCUCCCAGCUCAACUUCUCCCACGUCCGGAUCUCCCGCGGCCAGUCGGGAUGAGCAUCCCGAACAAAUCUCAGCUUCAUCAGCUUGAUCCAUCCUUAUCUCCAUCCAAACUUCUUCGCAGCGACGGGAGGUAGGCAGCCUAUAUAAAGAGAAGAGUUCU